RNAcentral lists this ribosomal RNA (521 nucleotides) under uncultured bacterium. RNAcentral's name for it is "bacterial SSU rRNA". It matches the Rfam family "Bacterial small subunit ribosomal RNA", at positions 803 to 1323 of the family's 1533-position model. The record is from RNAcentral.
UAAACGAUGUCUACUUGAAGGUUGUGGCCUUGAGCCGUGGCUUUCGGAGCUAACGCGUUAAGUAGACCGCCUGGGGAGUACGGUCGCAAGAUUAAAACUCAAAUGAAUUGACGGGGGCCCGCACAAGCGGUGGAGCAUGUGGUUUAAUUCGAUGCAACGCGAAGAACCUUACCUACUCUUGACAUCCAGAGAAGUUACCAGAGAUGGUUUCGUGCCUUCGGGAACUCUGAGACAGGUGCUGCAUGGCUGUCGUCAGCUCGUGUUGUGAAAUGUUGGGUUAAGUCCCGCAACGAGCGCAACCCUUAUCCUUGUUUGCCAGCACGUAAUGGUGGGAACUCCAGGGAGACUGCCGGUGAUAAACCGGAGGAAGGUGGGGACGACGUCAAGUCAUCAUGGCCCUUACGAGUAGGGCUACACACGUGCUACAAUGGCGUAUACAGAGGGCUGCCAACCAGCGAUGGUGAGCGAAUCCCACAAAGUACGUCGUAGUCCGGAUCGGAGUCUGCAACUCGACUCCGUGA